RNAcentral lists this long non-coding RNA (437 nucleotides) under Mytilus galloprovincialis (Mediterranean mussel). Lineage: Eukaryota; Metazoa; Mollusca; Bivalvia; Mytilida; Mytilidae. The record is from RNAcentral.
UAUAUGUUUAUUUAUCAUAUAUUUAGUACAAAAUACAGCUAUUUUGUAUAUCUAAUAAAGGUUGUGUUUCCAGUCUGUAUCACCUACCCUGUAUCGCAUACCCCGUAUCGCAUAGCUAAACCCGUAUCGCAUACCCCGUAUCGCAUGGUAAAACCCGUAUCGCAUACCUUUUUUUUUUUUUUUUUUUUGCUUAAGGUGGUACCUAACACUUUCACUAAAAUUAAUUUGGCUCGUUUAAUUUUAAUUAAAUUUUGACAAAGUAUUUACUUUGACCCUUUAACAAAAAUAUAAAAAUUUCAAAAAUUUUGAACCAACCGUUUUGUCAGAAAAAAUACACUGGUUAUAUAGCAGUUUGACAAACACCAAUUUUGAUCAUUAAGAAGCUUAAUAUUCCCUACACAACACUACGUAAUUAAAACGUUUAGCCGACUUUACAG